This 365-nucleotide long non-coding RNA is filed under the name Ananas comosus (pineapple). RNAcentral describes it as "long non-coding RNA (ACOM_LNC040870)". The record is from RNAcentral. Lineage: Eukaryota; Viridiplantae; Streptophyta; Magnoliopsida; Poales; Bromeliaceae.
CCCCUGUAAAAUAAAAAAUGUGCACUUCACCCCCUACCGUUAGGGUUCCGUCAGGGUUCCGUUAAGAAAUAUAUUUUUAUGCCGAAAAUACCCCUCCGCCAUCUCCCUGUUGCUUCGACUCCCUCCGGCUCGCCACCUCACCGCCGCCUCGCCGCCUCGCCGCCUCGCCGUCCUCCACUGCCUCGCCGUCACCCACAUCCCCUUCGUCGUCUUCCGCCGCCUCACCUUCGCCUUCUUUAUUCUUCUCCUACUGUCGCCCACCUCGGUUUUCUCCUACUGUCGCCGAAAUCGAGGGCGGCGAGGGUGCAGGAGGAGAAGGGGAGCAGGUGGAGAAGGAAAUGGAGAGAAAUCGCGGCCGAUUGAGG